This 799-nucleotide ribosomal RNA is filed under the name Alfaria vitis. RNAcentral describes it as "eukaryotic LSU rRNA". It matches the Rfam family "Eukaryotic large subunit ribosomal RNA", at positions 85 to 918 of the family's 3401-position model. Lineage: Eukaryota; Fungi; Ascomycota; Sordariomycetes; Hypocreales; Stachybotryaceae. The record is from RNAcentral.
AACGGCGAGUGAAGCGGCAACAGCUCAAAUUUGAAAUCUGGACCUAGUCCCGAGUUGUAAUUUGCAGAGGAUGAUUUUGGCGCGGUGCCUUCCAAGUUCCCUGGGACGGGACGCCGGAGAGGGUGAGAGCCCCGUCAGGUUGGACACCAAGCCUAUGUAAAUCUCCUUCGACGAGUCGAGUAGUUUGGGAAUGCUGCUCUAAAUGGGAGGUAUAUGUCUUCUAAAGCUAAAUACCGGCCAGAGACCGAUAGCGCACAAGUAGAGUGAUCGAAAGAUGAAAAGCACUUUGGAAAGAGAGUUAAACAGCACGUGAAAUUGUUAAAAGGGAAGCGUUUACGACCAGACUUGUGCCGGUUGAUCAUCCAGCGUUCUCGCUGGUGCACUCUGCCGGCCCAGGCCAGCAUCAGUUCGCCGCGGGGGAUAAAGGCGUCGGGAAUGUGGCUCCCCCGGGAGUGUUAUAGCCCUUCGCGCAAUACCCUGAGGCGGACUGAGGUUCGCGCAUUCGCAAGGAUGCUGGCGUAAUGGUCGUCAACGACCCGUCUUGAAACACGGACCAAGGAGUCGUCUUCGUAUGCGAGUGUUCGGGUGUAAAACCCCUACGCGUAAUGAAAGUGAACGCAGGUGAGAGCUUCGGCGCAUCAUCGACCGAUCCUGAUGUUCUCGGAUGGAUUUGAGUAAGAGCAUACGGGGCCGGACCCGAAAGAAGGUGAACUAUGCCUGUAUAGGGUGAAGCCAGAGGAAACUCUGGUGGAGGCUCGCAGCGGUUCUGACGUGCAAAUCGAUCGUCAAAUAUGGGCAU